AGAGUUUGAUCCUGGCUCAGGAUGAACGCUAGCUACAGGCUUAACACAUGCAAGUCGGAGGGGAAACGACAUCGAAAGCUUGCUUUUGAUGGGCGUCGACCGGCGCACGGGUGAGUAACGCGUAUCCAACCUGCCCAUCACUUGGGGAUAACCUUGCGAAAGUAAGACUAAUACCCAAUGACGUCUCUAGAAGACAUCUGAAAGAGAUUAAAGAUUUAUCGGUGAUGGAUGGGGAUGCGUCUGAUUAGCUUGUUGGCGGGGUAACGGCCCACCAAGGCGACGAUCGAGUAGGGGUUCUGAGAGGAAGGUCCCCCACAUUGGAACUGAGACACGGUCCAAAAUCCUACGGGAGGCA
Molecule: ribosomal RNA, 355 nt
Filed under: uncultured bacterium
Lineage: Bacteria
Description: bacterial SSU rRNA
Rfam family: Bacterial small subunit ribosomal RNA
Source: RNAcentral